AGGAAGCUAAGCUGAAAAAAAUCUUCUGUUUCAGUGAAUGCUGGUAAGCUGAGUUGUUGCUGAGCUUCAUGAUGAAGGAACUGACCUUUUACAGGUCAAGUGCACAAGGUGAGUGAGAUUGCCUUUAAAACCCUUGUUUUCAUUUUUUGCUCAAGUUUUCGUAGUAGCAAGAAAUUAAGUUCCUUCUGCUUUUAGAAUUUCUGAGACUUGGUCAUCAAGCAUAAAAACAAGAGAAUUCAUUUAGAAUUGAUAGCUUUAAAGAUUAUCAAAGUUUCGCUGAUAAUAAACAAUAGCAGCAGUCUGUUCGUCAUGUAUCCCGACAUGUUAGUAUUUUCAUAUUAACUUCUUGAUACAAAUAAUCUGAAUAGGUAGUUGUCUUUUGCACUUUUUGCUUUGGGGUUCACCGUUCAUAUGGAUUUCCUCCCCACUCCACCACAAUCAUGCUUCUUAAUGAAGUUUAAGUGAAGCAUGUCUUAAGAAUAAGAUAAUUAGCAUAUUUCAUUCUCAAUGUAGUGGUAAAAGCUGAAGAAGAAAUGUGUUCUCCCUUGAUCUAUAAAACUCUAAUUAUAUCUGCUGACUUAUCUUUCGCUGGAAUUGAUGAACAGUGCUGCAUCUCAAUCUCAUCCCCUUUUAUUUUAAAUAUCAGCCUGUUUUGUAUCAAACUAAUCAUUUAGAAGGAAAGCAGCAACAUUUUAAGAGAAAGAAAAUUUUAGUUGUGGUGAUUAUUUUGGUUGCUAGCUUGAAUGUUGAAUCUCAGCAGUUUACACCCCUAAUAACUCCUAAGAGUUAACCGUUUCAAAAAAAAAAAAAAAAUAACUCCUAAGAGUUGGUGGAGAAAAAUGUAUCAAGCAGUAUAAGGCUUGCUUGUUCAGUAUUAAAGAAGUUAAAUGCUAUCAAAUGCUUAAUUCCAAAUAUUUAAAACCCAGAUAAGAUAGACUGCAUUUGUUGAAGUCACAGGUCAAGUGGGAUAACUACAUUUAUUCUACAUGGCUCAACAAAGCUCCUUCAUAAUGUAGCCUCCAACACUUGCAUUUAUCUUUUUAUUGCAGUAUGGGAAUCUUCAAAGAUACAAGGGUUUUCUUGUGUCUGUGAACCCCAUUCACAUGAUUAUCAUCCCUGGAGAGUGGCUCAUAUGAGAUGAUUUUGGAGAAAUCUAUUCCCUAUUUAUCAAUCUGGGGCGUCUGAGGAAGUCCAACCUAUGGUGAACCUUCUCUAGAUUGAAGUGUGAAGCGUUCAUUUUGGAAAUUUGAUUUUGUGUAAAACCAUAGAUGAUAGAGCGCGCCAGAUUGAUCAUUCAUAUUUUUCCUUUUAAUAUACAGAAAGCUGUGUGUUGGUUUUAAUGGUUUGGGUUGAAAUGAUUCAAAAAGUAGAAGAAGAGAUUCUACUAGUUCAUGGGGCAGCCUACUUGGACGCUCUUCUGUCUUUUCUUCUUCUUCUUAGUUGUUGUAUAAUAGUGUUUUUUGAAUUUAUUUUACAUCAAUAAAGUAUAACGUGUUGAAUCAAAGCCUAUCAAAACCAUAAAAGAACUAAUCCGUUAACUCUUAUAUCCAAGAUAUCUGGGAGUAAAUUACAACACCAUCUAAAAAUCACCAUUGUUGCAGGCUUGAAGAAGUGAGUCUUGAAUUCCGCAUAUGAACAGUUUGUUCUAAUCAAGUGGAUGUUGUUGGAAAAGCUGGGAAACAUUGGCAGGGAUGAUUUUUUUUUUUUUCUGAAACUGGUAACUUUAGGCAGGGAUGAAAAUUGGUAGUUCAAAUUUCAGAAAAACUAUUUUUUGUUUUGAACAAAUAUGUAGAAACUGGAGGUAUUGGUAGUUCAAACUUCAGAUAUACAUAUUUGAAGUUUGGUCUUGACAAGUCAAACUUUUGACGCAUAUGUCGGAUGUUUGCUUGCACAAGCAAUACCAAACUUCAGACAAAUUUGUAAUUUCAAACACGAUUUUUUGCAACUUCAGUCUGAAGUGUCUAAACUUACAAAACUUUAUGAACUUAGGCUGUGGCUUCAAUGGGUAUCCCAAAAUUGGCUAUCUGUGCAAUUGCACCCAAAAAGUCGGAGUAGCAACUUUGGGAACAGAGGUUAAGGUUUGUAUCCCAGCAGCGAAUGAAUUCUUCCUAUCUGCCGCCUUGGUGGUCAAAGUUGUCUUGUAUCUGUGCUAGCAUUGGUUGUUAAAAUUAUCUCCCCGUAUCUGUAUUUGUGGAGUGAAGUAGGUUCCUUAGAGAAUUAGUUGAGGUGUGCACAAGCUGGCGCCUGGCAGUAUAUCUUUGUUACUAUUAAAAAAUAAAUAGCAAAGUUACUUUGGAUUUGUGGAUCAAACGUCUUGCAAGGUAGAAGAUAGGAAAGUCUUUAGAGAGACAAAAAUAAAAGAUCUCUUCUGAAAACUUCUAGCUUUGACGCACAAGAAGUGCUAAGGAAUUGUUUUUCUAUGAUAUAUUUUUUGGAUGUUAAGGGAGAAAACAAUGACUGCAAUAUUUGUUUUUCUUUUCCUUUCUUUCAAAAUCUUUUGCUUUAUAGACUGGGUGGAGGUGGAGGGUAAAGCUUCAGAAUGAAUUCUAGUGAAUUUCUUCAUCUCACUUGUGGAUGUGGUAGUUCAUAAUGUAGCUAUAGAUGAGUAGCAUUCAAAAGAAGCAGACGGUUGAAGUGGCCACAUUAUCACUUAACUGACUUAUGUACCCUCCAUUCCUUUUUACUUGCCCCUUAUACUAAACAUAGUUUUUCCUUUUUUCUUGUCCAUUUUAGCAAAUCAAGAGAGAUUCAUUACUUUCUUUCAGUAUUGCCGUUAUCUUCGAGGCGUUACAUAAAGUACUAGUAAUCUAGGUUACCUUUAUAAAAAAUAAAUAAAGAACAAGUAAUCAAACUUAGAUUUCCAAAGCAUAUUAAAUUAAAAUAAUUUAGUAAACAAACUUGUAAUAAAUAGUUUCUUAAGGGGAGUGCCGAAUUAACAAGGGACAAGUAAAAAGGAAUAGAGGGAGUAGGUUGUGUAAGGAAGAGUGAAGUGGAUCUUAGUAUCAAAGACUUGUUACCUCUAGAUAUUUUGUCUCCAUACAAGGGAAGAUGUCUGUUUGGGGGAAUUUUAAAAUGGUUGGGGAAUUUGUCAUAAAUGUAGCUAAGAUCGGUUAAGUUAGUUGAUGCAAUUGUUUUUCUCUAGGACUCCAUUAGAGUCCCAAACUAACUGUAGAAGUUCUAUAACAUGUACCAAGGGGUAUUUCAGAAUUUUUAGUUGCUGACUUGGUGGAAGUGUACUAUCUUAGAUGUAUGGGUUUUGGAACUGUUAAAAAAGUGAGACCGAUUAGAUCUUCUGUAACAUGAUAUAGAUUGUUGUUUUGCUAUUGGGAAGUGUUCUGAAACACAAUUUUUCUUGAGCCUAGGGUCUAUCGGAAAUGACCUCUCUACCCCACUAAAGGUAGGGGUAAGUUCUAGGCACAGCCCACCCUCGCCAUACCCCACAUGUAGGAUUACUCUGGGUAUGUUGUUGCUGUUGGAAAGUGAACACUGGGUCUACUCAACUGAAACUGAAAACAUAACAUUCAAUUUGAAAUGUAAAGAACUAUUUAAUUGUGACACUCCCUUCUGGUAAAACUAAAGAAAUUUUAAGAACUCCUUACUUUAGUGAAAUGUAGGUUUUAUGAUGUGCUCUUUCUUAAUAUUCUUUUAGUUUCUUCCAAGUUGCUUAUUAGCUAGUCUUGAUAUGAAAUGGUCUGGAACAUUUAGUGAAGUGAGUUUGUGGAACCGUUGUACGUCUUUCUCCACUUUGUCUUAAUUAACUCUUGUGAACGAGUUCAUGGAACUAUUUUCCAGUGUUUUCAAAAAGGAAAAACGCAAAAGGGCCGCAAGGUUUAUGAGGCUUGAAGUGAAAGGAAAGAAGUGAAGCAAAGUGAACCACACAAUUUAUGGAAAAUUAGAGUACCAAACAUAUAUGUAUUUAGCUCUAUAGUAUUCAAGUUGCAAUUAAAAUAAUUAAUUUCAGCGUCCGAUGUACAAUGAUGCUAACUUUAGUACAAAUCCUCAAAGUUGAGAUUCAAAGAACUCAUCGCUACCUUUGUCAAAAACAAGAACUCAUCGCUACUCAGUUGGAUCGGUCAGUUGGAUCACCGAUCCAACUAUGCCCAUGUUCUCUGAAGUGUAUGGCUUCACCAUACAACUAUAACCCAUUGCUUUUAAGCGAUAAAAUACUAGCCUUUAACAACACUGCUAUUUUCAUUUUUCUCUAAUUCCGUUCUUGAAGGGGAGCCUUGGUGUAACUGGUAAAGUUGCUGCCAUCUGACCAAGAGUUAACGGGCUCAAGCCGUGGAAACAACCUCUUGCAGAAAUGUAGGGUAAGCUGCGUACAAUAACCCUUGUGGUCCGGCCCUUCACCGCCCCAUGCAUAAUGGGAGCUUUUUUGCACGGGACUGCCCUUUUUUCUCAUCUAUUUCUUAUUUUCCCUUUGUGCUUCCUGUAGUUCUCACACACUUAUCAGUUUUCAUUCCUAUUAUUCCUUCUCUCGUCCAGCAAUCUAGGCAACCAUUAGUCAUUAACUAUAAAUGUUGUAUUUGUUUAUUGUCUCUAAGAAGAAAAAAACAUGUGAUCCUUUGGCACCAUUAUGGAUAUUUGUAAAUUGUUUUAUAGCCUCACUUUUGACUCUGAGAAACUAAUUAGAGUUGUAAAUGUUUGCAAUAGAGGGGUGUAAACAAGUUGAGAAGCCUAAGUGGGUUUCGUGACACUUUUCUACUUACAGAAGUUGGGCUCAGUAUGAGAUGAAUCAAGGCUAAAAUUGGAUCCGAGAGUUUUAUGUGGUUCAAAAAUUCUACCAGCCUAAUUCUCAAAAAAAUAAAUAAAAUAAUUCUACCAGCAUAAAAUUGAAGUCUGAAAUCAAGUUGACCCUAACAGACAUAUUCCUUCUGUUUGGUACCAUAAGAGAAACUGAGAAAAACUUGGUAACAAAAUUAAAAGAGGGAUAUCUUUAUUUACUUUUUUUUUUUAAAUGGAAGAAAAUUAAGGAAAGCUGAGCCACUAGCAAAUUUACUCCAUGACUUACUUGAGGUACUAUGCACAAGCAAAGAAUUUCACCGAGGUUAGAGGUCCUGGAAGUGAGAAGAACAGAACAAAGGAUUUUCACAGUUUUCUCUCUCUCUCUCUCUCUCUCUCUCUCUCUCUCUCUCUCUCUCUCUCUCUCUCUCUCUCUCUCUCUCUCUCUCUCUCUCUCUCUCUCUCUCUCUCUCUCUCUCUCUCUCUCUCUCUCUCUCUCUCUCUCUCUCUCUCUCUCUGAACAGAACAAAGGAUUUCUACAGUUUCUUCUCUCUCUCUCUCUCUCUCUCUCUCUCUCUCUUAUAGAUUACUGAGAAGGAUGAGACAGGGCCUUUCUGUACUCCUCAGUAUGAUACCAAGGAUGGGUGAAUGGGUACGUGUAAAUAUAUGAGUGGUCCAACUUUUCAAAAGUCACUCUCUCGCAGCUAUCAGGGGCGUGUACCCAAUGUCGUCAGCCCACAUACAAUCUUUUCGAACUGUAGGGAGGUGAGCUAUUUGUAUUACAGAAGCAUAGUCACCAGCCAAUUUUUCACGGUCUCUAGUUUUCUUUGUUGACAGAGUUCGAGAAUGUAGAUCUUUGUCAAAAGAUAGCUUGUUCGGAAGAAUCAUCUCAAAAGUUGGUUCAACUGUGGAUUCACCUUUCUUGGUUGAUUUGGAUUUUUCUGAAACCUUGUCAGAGAAAGGCUUGCAACCCGAAAGAGAAAGUGACUUUUCGCAACAAGUAAUCGAAACAUUUUGAUGUGGAAAAGAACGCACAGACAUGAGGAAUAUGGUGGGUGAUUGUUAAAAGGAUCGAGAAAAUUAAAAUUUUGUCAAUAAACAUCCAAUGUAGAUAUGAAUGUCGAGGAAGGAUGAGCAAAGUCAAAAAAGGAAUUUGGUGUGAGGUGGGAAUGUAAUUACUUUAGUUGACAAAUUCUCCCUCACAACAAAUUCCUUUUUUGACUUUGCUCAUCCUUCCUCGACAUUCAUAUCUUCAUUGGAUGUUGUUUAUUGACAAAAUCUCAAUUUUCUCGAUCCUUUUAACAAUCACCCACCAUAUUCCUCAUGUCUGCGCCUUCUUCUCCACAUCAAGAUGUUUCGAUUACUUGUUGCGAAAAAUCACUUUCUCUUUCGGGUUGCAAGCCUUUCUCUGGCAAGGCUUCAGAAAAAUCUAAGUCAACCAAGAAAGGUGAAUCCACAGUUGAACCAACUUUUGAGAUGAUUCUUCCGAACAAGCUAUCUUUUGACAAAGAUCUACAUUCUCGAACUCUGUCAACAAAGAAAACUAGAGACCGUGAAAAAUUGGCUGGUGACUAUGCUUCUGUAAUACAAAUAGCUCACCUCCCUACAGUUCGAAAAGAUUGUAUGUGGGCUGACGACAUUGGGGUACACGCCCCUGAUAGCUGCGAGAGUGUAACUUUUGAAAAGUUGGACCACUCAUAUAUUUACACGUACCCUUUGAAAAGCUCCACCAGCCUAAUUUUCAAAAAAAAUUCUACCAGCCUAAAAUGGAAGUCAGAAAUCAAGUUGACCCUAACAGACAUAUUCCUUCUGUUUGGUACCAUAAGAGAAACUGAGAAAACCUUGGUAACAUAAUAAAAAGAGGGACAUCUUUAUUUAACUUUUUUUAAAUGGAAGAAAAUUAAGGAAGGCUGAGCCACUAGCAAAUUUACUCCAUGACUUACUUGAGGUACUGUGCACAAGCAGAGAAUUUCACCGAGGUUAGAGGUCCUGGAAGUGAGAAGAACAGAACAAAGGAUUUUCACAGUUUUGUCUCUCUCUCAUAGAUUACUGUGAAGGAUGAGACAGGGCCUUUCUGUAUUCCUCAGUAUGGUACCAAGGAUGCAAAUAAAACUUUUUUUCUUCAUCUGGUUGGAAGCUUGGGGGUCAUCUUUACUACCGAGAAUCUGAGGAAGAGGAAUAUCACUCAUUUCAGUUGGUGUUAUAUGGUAGUGGAAAGAUGUGAUCCACUUACUGUUUCUCUGUCAGUUUCAACAACAAUUGGUGGUCGAAUGGAACCUGUUUGGUACUGAAUAGGUAAUGUCGGCAAUUGUUAAAGACUUGUUUUAACAUCAGGCAGUUAGAAGAAUAAGAGCUUGGACUCCACGAUUCGGAGCCUGUUUGGUAUUAAAUAGGUAAAGUCAGCAAUUGAAAGGUUUGUUUUUAAGUCGGCCAACUAGAAGGAAGAGAAGAAAAAAACCUUGGGAAGUUGCUUAUUUGUGCUCAUGACAUUUGGAGAGAAAAAUCAGAUUUUCGAGAUUGAAAGUUUGUUUUUAGAUAUCAGAUGAUCACUUUUGUUGUUUCAUAGAAGUUUGGAGUACCUUGGCGGACACCGUUUAUUGUUAGAUGAUUGGAUACUCCUUGUAGGAAGUCUUCUUUUUUUUCCUCUCUACGUACUCUGCUUUUCAGUGCCGAGGGUCUACUAGAAACAACCUCUCUACCACACAAAGGCAGGGGUAAGGUUUCCAUACAUCCUACCCUCCCAGAACUCAUUUGUGGGAUGAUACUGGGUAUGUUGUUGUUGUACUUUACUUUUCCAUACCACUUUUAUAUAUGGGGUUUUCACAUUUACAUAAAUAAAACUUGAUUUUCUUAGAAUUUGUAGAUUUCCACUGGAAAAUUAGUUUUACUACCGGAAGUGCUAGUGUGGGACAAUCUACUUUGACUUGUUUUUAUAAUUUACAUACGUCUUAUCAUUUCAACUCCUCUACUAGUGUCCAGUAUUAGUAAUAGGGAUAAUCAUCAACGUACUUGUAUUAUCCAUGAAGUGCCUAGAAAACUCAAAAUGAAGCACCUAUAUAAUCAGUGUAAAGCCGUAGAGGUAAAAGAAGGAGAAGAAGGAAUGAGAAGAAUUUGAUAAUCUGAAUAGCUGGAGCACAACUUGCACAUGGAAAUUUUUUGUAGUCUUGCUCUUUUCUUCUCUGAAGCCUUUUGUUCUAGUUAUCUUGUUUUCAUUUUCCAUUUCUCUCCUGGUGCUUCAAAGUUCCUCUUGCUUUGAUUUCCUUAGGUGUAUAUACAUGAAAUUUUGAUGAGAAGAAAUUGAUGUUUUUGGUAUUUGGGGAUGUGAAGGGGAAGGAGAUGGUAAGUUGUUGGCUAGGGGGUAUGAUUAAAAUCCAUUAUACAUUCUCUUGCCUGUCUAUCUAAUUCUGUAUAUUGCCCAAUUAAAAUGGAACCUAACGUGAAGAUUAAGGAAAGAAACUAGGUAACUUUCAACAUAUAGACAUCUAGGGACCUCUUGACAUUUCUUAAGGAUGCCUCUGUGUGCUCUUCACUGAUCCAAAAACUUGUAGCUGUGUUCAUGAAAUUGGAGAAAGGAAAAAGAAAUGUGAAGGUAAAACAUGAAAAUGAAUGAUUUUUUCAAAUUUGCACGGUUGAUUUGCUAUGUUGCUCCGACUCUCCAAAAAUAAUGCCACACUCCUGUCGGAUCCUUAAAAAAUGUACUACUUUUAUAUAUUAAGAAGCAGGGAGAUCGACAACUCUCCUCAGUGCACUGAUAUCCUUUGGUGUUCGGAUGGAAAUUAAUCUGGGUUUACUUUGUUCUUUUGCAGGAUACGUUUUGAUAGUUGUCAAUUCUCACCUGCUGAUGGCAUUUUACAUGUCCAGCAAAGUAGGAAUCAGACCUGAAGGUACUGACUAGAGCAGCCAUAUUGAUUUUUCAACACAUACACCCCCGGCCAAAAGGUUUCAUUUUUCCCCUCUUGUUUUUCUUCUCUAACACAAGAUUCAUUUUAUUAAACUAGAGUGCAGUCGAUUUUUGGAAUUAGCAUGUAGGUGUAACAGCGCAGUUUUAUGUAGAUAGAUCUUUGGUCUCUGAGUUGAAUACUUAAGAAAUACAUGGCAAUUGAUUUAGAGUUGAGAGGAUGUUGUAGUAUUUGUAUUGUUCAGUCAUAAUUGCAGAUAAUAAGGUAUCUUCACACAACUUUUUUGGUUCUCUUUUGUGCUAUGUUCUAUUUUUAUUUAUUUAUUUUCGAUAACGAUGCUAUUUGGAUCAACUUGCAUAAUGAUUAACUUAUGAUCACUUUGGGUUACAUUCAAUGUAUUCAUUCAGCAUUAAGAUAUGCCAAAUAUUUGACAUAAUGUUAACAGUGAACCAAGGGCCUUUCAGAAACGUCUCUACCACCUUCACAAGGUAGGGAUAAGGUCAGGGUACACAAGACCCCACUUGUAGGGUUACACGAGUGAGUCAGUGAAAGCCAAAAAGAAAAAAAAAGUGGAGUUCCUGUAACUUUCUUAAAUAGUACCAACAGAAUGGGGUCUCAAAAAGAGAUCCAAAUCAUGCAGCCCAAUCUUGUCUUAUAUUCAAAUGUACAGUACUUGUAGCUCAUAAUGCCAUGAUAGAUGACUAAUAUAUUGUCUCUAAUGAAUGAGAUUUUUGUGAAUUUUAUACUUUUGUAGUUGGAGGCAUGUCAAUUUUCAAUGACAUCCAUCAGUCCUUCAAUUUUAUUUAAUACUGCUGUAUGCAUCAAGAGAGAAGAGUAUUUUAUUAUCUAGAAAAAACCAGGAAGAUGAAGG
Molecule: long non-coding RNA, 9492 nt
Filed under: Solanum tuberosum (potato)
Lineage: Eukaryota; Viridiplantae; Streptophyta; Magnoliopsida; Solanales; Solanaceae
Description: long non-coding RNA (STUB_LNC007585)
Source: RNAcentral